AAAAGACAAGCUUCUGGGUAACCGGUUUGGAAAGUCAUAUUAGUAAUCAUGGUGUUAGAAGAUAUUCCUCUACACUGGGGCGACGUUUGUGUUAUUGUUGGAUAUUUCCUUUGUGUCCUCGGUGUCGGUUUGUGGUCUUCCAAGAACAGCAAUCGGAACAGCAUCAGUGGCUACUUUCUGGCCAGCAGAAAUAUGCAUUGGAUCCCCGUGGGAGCUUCUUUGUUCGCCAGCAAUAUUGGUAGUGGUCAUUUCAUUGGUUUAGCUGGUUCAGGGGCAGUAUCUGGUAUUGGAAUAGCUGGAUUUGAGCUCAACGCUAUGUUUGUAAUGUUAAUAUUGGGCUGGCUCUUUGUUCCCGUCUACACUGCUGCUGGGGUGUACACUAUGCCAGAAUAUCUCAGGAAAAGAUUCGGAGGACAACGUAUAAGAAUUUAUUUGUCAACAUUAGCACUGUUACUCUAUGUCUUCACUAAGAUAUCAGCUGAUCUCUAUGCAGGUGCUAUCUUUAUUGAAGAAGCCUUGAAGUGGAAUCUCUACGUAGCCAUUAUUGUCUUGUUAGCUGUAGCAGCUAUCUUCACUGUAGCGGGUGGGCUGACUGCAGUUAUUUGGACAGACUUUGUACAGACUAUUAUCAUGAUAGCUGGAGCUUUUGCUUUAAUGGUUAUUAGUUUCGUGAAGGUUGGUGGCUAUCAAGAACUAGUCCACCAGUUCGCCACCAAAAUACCCAACGAGACAGUAAUUGGCUACAACUCGAAGAACGUCUCCUGUAGUGAAAUCCCAGGGAACUACAUGCAUUUAUUAAGAUCAGCCUAUGACCCCGAACUUCCGUGGACAGGAAUGGUCUUCGGAUUAACUAUUUCAGCCGUUUGGUAUUGGUGCUCUGACCAGGUUAUUGUUCAAAGAGUCUUGUCAGCUAAAAACGUAUCACAUGCCAAAAUGGGCUGUAUUGUUGCUGGUUAUCUGAAGUUUCUACCCAUGUUCUUACUUGUGUUUCCUGGAAUGGCCGCUAGAGUACUCUUUACAGAUCAGAUUGGCUGCUCAAGACCAGAAGCUUGUUACGCUGCUUGUAAAAAUAAAGGUGGAUGUUCAAAUAUUGCUUAUCCUCUCUUGGUGUUGGAAUUAAUGCCACCUGGCGCCAGAGGUCUGAUGUUAUCUGUGAUGCUGGCGGCUUUGAUGUCGUCACUCACGUCCAUCUUCAACAGUAGCUCUACCAUUUUCACCAUAGACAUCUGGACAAGAAUCAGGAAGCAAGCAAAAGAAAUGGAACUUUUAAUUGUUGGAAGGGUUUUUGUCCUAGUUCAAGUGGUGGUCAGCAUUUUGUGGAUUCCGAUCAUUCAGGCUGCUCACAGUAGCCAACUUUUCCAUUACAUCCAGAGCGUCACUGCAUAUUUAGCGCCACCUGUCUGUGCUGUUUACGUUUUGGCUGUUUUUUGGACCAGAACAAACGAGCGAGGAGCUUUUUAUGGUCUAAUGGUCGGACUAGUUGUUGGCUUGAUUCGAUUUACCUGGGAAUUUUCUUACACUGUUCCAUCCUGUGCCAGUGGUCAACCAGACCCUCGACCUUAUAUUCUGUCUAAAGUUCAUUAUCUACACUUUGGAUGUAUACUCUUCGUUAUCUCGUUUCUAGUUACCGUAACUGUCAGCCUUCUCACCCAACCAAUGGAUACGAAGCACGUGAGUAACCUAAAGUUCAUUAUCUACACUUUGGAUGUAUACUCUUCGUUAUAUCGUUUUUAGUUACCGUAACUGUCAGCCUUCUCACCCAACCAAUGGAUACGAAGCACGUGAGUAACCUUUUUUUUCCCCCAACAUUUCAGGAAUUGCUUAGAGGUCUAGAAAAGAAAUCACCGUUUUAUU
This 1854-nucleotide unclassified non-coding RNA is filed under the name Limulus polyphemus (Atlantic horseshoe crab). RNAcentral's name for it is "sodium/glucose cotransporter 4-like, transcript variant X4". The record is from RNAcentral. Lineage: Eukaryota; Metazoa; Arthropoda; Merostomata; Xiphosura; Limulidae.